UCGAGAAUAAUUCACAAUGGGGGCAACCCUGAUGGUGCAACGCCGCGUGGAGGAUGACGGUCUUCGGAUUGUAAACUCCUGUCAUCCGGGAGUAAGACCUGGCGGUUAACAGCCGACAGGGUUGAUAGUACCGGAAGAGGAAGGGACGGCUAACUUCGUGCCAGCAGCCGCGGUAAUACGAAGGUCCCGAGCGUUGUUCGGAAUCACUGGGCGUAAAGGGAGCGUAGGCUGCGCGGUAAGUCAGAUGUGAAAUCCCGGGGCUCAACCCCGGAACUGCAUCCGAUACUGCCGUGCUAGAGGAUUGGAGAGGUAGCUGGAAUUCUUGGUGUAGCAGUGAAAUGCGUGGAUAUCAAGAGGAACACUCGUGGCGAAAGCGAGCUACUGGACAACUCCUGACGCUGAGGCUCGAAGGCCAGGGUAGCGAAAGGG
Molecule: ribosomal RNA, 429 nt
Filed under: uncultured bacterium
Lineage: Bacteria
Description: bacterial SSU rRNA
Rfam family: Bacterial small subunit ribosomal RNA
Source: RNAcentral